Molecule: ribosomal RNA, 504 nt
Filed under: uncultured bacterium
Lineage: Bacteria
Description: bacterial SSU rRNA
Rfam family: Bacterial small subunit ribosomal RNA
Source: RNAcentral
GAUGAACGCUGGCGGCGUGCUUAACACAUGCAAGUCGAACGAAGCACUUAAUGAGAUUUCUUCGGAUUGAUUAUUUUGUGACUGAGUGGCGGACGGGUGAGUAACGCGUGGGUAACCUGCCCCAGACCGGGGGAUAACAGUCGGAAACGACUGCUAAUACCGCAUAAGCCCACGGCUCGGCAUCGAGCAGAGGGAAAAGGAGCAAUCCGCUUUGAGAUGGCCUCGCGUCCGAUUAGCUAGUUGGUGAGGUAACGGCCCACCAAGGCGACGAUCGGUAGCCGGACUGAGAGGGUGAACGGCCACAUUGGGACUGAGACACGGUCCAAACUCCUACGGGAGGCAGCAGUGAGGAAUAUUGGUCAAUGGGCGAGAGCCUGAACCAGCCAAGUAGCGUGAAGGAUGACUGCCCUAUGGGUUGUAAACUUCUUUUAUAAAGGAAUAAAGUCGGGUAUGGAUACCCGUUGCAUGUACUUUAUGAAUAAGGAUCGGCUAACUCCGUGCCAG